UUAUUUUCAAAUAUUUCGAAUCCAUUGGAAUUAGCUACGGUUUUUGAAAACGACCACAUUGAUCGAUAAAAUUA
Long non-coding RNA from Neodiprion virginianus, 74 nucleotides. RefSeq lists it as uncharacterized. Lineage: Eukaryota; Metazoa; Arthropoda; Insecta; Hymenoptera; Diprionidae. The transcript is spliced from 3 exons. The record is from RefSeq and is a predicted model, not a curated record.